GCGUGAAUGAUGAAGGCCUUAGGGUUGUAAAGUUCUUUCGGGUGGGACGAUGAUGACGGUACCACCAGAAGAAGCCCCGGCUAACUUCGUGCCAGCAGCCGCGGUAAUACGAAGGGGGCUAGCGUUGUUCGGAAUUACUGGGCGUAAAGCGCACGCAGGCGGCUCGUUAAAUAAGGAGUGAAAGCCCUGGGCUCAACCCGGGAAUUGCUCUUUAGACUGGCGAGCUUGAAUCCGGAAGAGGGUAGUGGAAUUCCCAGUGUAGAGGUGAAAUUCGU
Molecule: ribosomal RNA, 275 nt
Filed under: uncultured bacterium
Lineage: Bacteria
Description: partial 16S ribosomal RNA
Rfam family: Bacterial small subunit ribosomal RNA
Source: RNAcentral